GAAAACUGACGNUGAGGCGCGAAAGCCAGGGGAGCGAACGGGAUUAGAUACCCCGGUAGUCCUGNCCGUAAACGAUGGGUACUAGGUGUAGGAGGUAUCGACCCCUUCUGUGCCGGAGUUAACGCAAUAAGUACCCCGCCUGGGGAGUACGACCGCAAGGUUGAAACUCAAAGGAAUUGACGGGGGCCCGCACAAGCGGUGGAGUAUGUGGUUUAAUUCGACGCAACGCGAAGAACCUUACCAGGUCUUGACAUUGAUGGACAGAACCAGAGAUGGUUCCUCUUCUUCGGAAGCCAGAAAACAGGUGGUGCACGGUUGUCGUCAGCUCGUGUCGUGAGAUGUUGGGUUAAGUCCCGCAACGAGCGCGACCCCUAUCUUAUGUUGCCAGCACUUUGGGUGGGGACUCAUGUGAGACUGCCGCAGAUAAUGCGGAGGAAGGCGGGGAUGACGUCAAAUCAUCAUGCCCCUUAUGACCUGGGCUACACACGUACUACAAUGGGAGUUAAUAGACGGAAGCGAGAUCGCGAGAUGGAGCAAACCCGAGAAACACUCUCUCAGUUCGGAUCGUAGGCUGCAACUCGCCUACGUGAAGUCGGAAUC
Molecule: ribosomal RNA, 600 nt
Filed under: uncultured bacterium
Lineage: Bacteria
Description: bacterial SSU rRNA
Rfam family: Bacterial small subunit ribosomal RNA
Source: RNAcentral